AAUAUGCGUAAAAACACUCGGAAAAGAAUAUUAUUUUAUACGGAAAGUCUUAAAAAUAAAUUAUUGAUAAUUUGCAGUAUAUUGUCUAUGCAAUCGAUACUUGGCCGCGGUAUUUAAGGACGGGGAAUACGAUAAUACGUACAUGUACUUCGCCAAGGAAUUUCAGGGAUGUUAAUUGGAUUUCUGGCGAACUAUAGCGUUAAAAGGUUUUUUUUUUUCCUUUCUAAUCAUCCGACGUCUGAGGCCAAGUCCCGAGUGCAUACAAGCCCGUGACAUUAAAAUGUCCGGUGUAUUGAUGUUUUUAGCAUUUCAGACACGGACCGUAAAUACAGCGGUUCGAUUAAGCGUGUUUUUUUUUUUGCCGUGAUAUUUACGAUUUUCCGACGACGACGAUUCCGACGGUACAGUGACAACACGACGUAUCGGAUUUUGCGUCGUUUCAAUCCGGUAUGGCGCGAGCGCGGAAAUUCGAUUAUCCUUGCGGAAAACGGUCAGACGCCGAGCGUCACCGGACGGACCGAAAAUUGUUUUCAGGGCCGUUCUGCAGCUAUCUGUUGGCGCGCAAAAGCUGUACGCGGACCGCUCUAUGGCCCCGUCAUUACCGGGGUUGAAUGCCGUUUCGGACUGCUCCCCGGCAGCAGUCCAGCUUAGUCAUCAUAACGCUGUCCCUUUACCGAUUUCGCGUCGCGCACGCACACUGGAUAUCGUGCGAUAUAUACAAUAAUGUCCGUCGUUCGAAGUCGGGGCAAUCAGAGAC
Cinara cedri is the source of this 757-nucleotide non-coding RNA. Lineage: Eukaryota; Metazoa; Arthropoda; Insecta; Hemiptera; Aphididae. The record is from the annotation of a GenBank genome assembly.